CCGAGCGCACUCUGGACGGCGUCGACGUGGCAGCACCGAGCCGAGGCUUCACCUCCUCCCAGCUGCAUUUCCACACAUCAUUUUCCACCUCUAAGCCGAAGAAACCGAGAGGGAGAGCUCCAGCUCUCCUCUUCCAUCUCUUCGUUGCCGGCCGCCAAGAAGAAGGACGCCGCAACCCGUCGUCGAGACAUUGUCAUCACCAACUCUUUCUCGUUCCGUAUUCCUCACUUCAUGCCUACCACUUUACCCUUUGACGGAAACGUCGCCGUGCCCACGGGUGUUCCAGUGCGUGCACCGGGCGCCGCCGCAGCGACAUCGUCGCCGUUGCCGUCGAUUUAGACCAAGCCGGAGCGAGCCACCACGCCACCAGCUUCGCGUCGUCGUCCUCUCCAUUUCCCCUCAAAAAUCCUGAAGAAUGGCGCAUCGAGGAAGGAGAUCGGCCGUCGUCCUCCUCAACACCGGUCACCGUCGCCAUUUGCCGAAUCCAUCUUCUCCGAUCUUGGAGUAGUUUGAGCUGUCGCCGUCAACCCGAAGGAGUUUGCCGCCGCCGGACCUGUUCGCGAGCUAUUACGGACGACCAAGCUUCGCCAACCUUGUCUAGCAUCUCGAUGAUUGCUUAACCGAUGAAGAAGUGAUUUAGGUGCUAACAUUUUCCAGUUGCAAGGCAAGUCCCACCUCCCUCUCUUUGAUCACUUUGAACCUAUGUUUUGGUGGUUAUUAAAAAUGUUUGCAAAUCUUGCAUGUCAAUUGUAUACUAAUAAAUUAAAAUUUUGUUAAACUUGUUAGACAAACUCCUAUUAUUUUCAUUAUCUCCUUAACCCCACAUAUAUCCAUAUCCUCAUUCCUAACCUUAGGAAUCAUAUCCUAAUACUACUUGGAAUAUGAGUUACAUUGUCACUAGUUGACUAUACUGCUUAGCCAUGCUUAGAAUGGUUUUACUUAUCACUUGGGCUCAUAUUAACAUGAAAAAUGAUUUUAUUAAGAUUCUGGACAGGGAUGAAUAAAUGAAGUAUUUGACAAAUAAAAUGAUGGAAAACAUGGAUUUUAGGUUUGGGCCUCAAGUGGUGCACAUAUGGUAAUUAGUUGUGUACCGAUAGGGGGAGAGUGUGCCUAAACCGAUCUAAGGAUUUCACUCAAUGUCUGUUCAUUAUAUUUACCGUACAUCCACAUGUGUUUUUAUGGGGAACCUUGGCCUAUUAAGUUAAGCACUUGUCUGACCUUGCGUUCGGGAGGCCGUUCUAGUAUAGGUAGAGGCCAUCAGUGUACUGUGGGCUACCUAAAGGAACUACCCAUGUGUGUGUUGAAUCUUAGGACGAGUGUACUGUUCCUAAGCGUGUGAUCGUAGGAUGAUAAAUUCCAUACAUGUGUGAUUUCCGUGAGGGGACGAGUGUACUGUUCCGCCUCACGGCAUGGGCGUCUAAGUCUAUCCAAUACAACGAUAUUGUGCCACGUGGUGGGUUCCCGUUGUAUCCGUCACCACGGCGUUAAGUUUAAGGCAUGGGCCCGCCACUUAACGGUUCUAGAUCAUAUAUCAAGUAUGGUCUAGGAUGGAGGAACACGUAUCGUGCUCAUGCAAGGUUAGACAAUACUUAAUGUAAAAGCCUCAUUGUGACCUCUAGACCGUACUCAAUGUGUAGAGUAUGGUGGUACUGACGGGUACCGGACGAACUAGAGCGAUUCACAUCAUGUGGGUAAAGCUGUACAAACUCUGUAGAGUCUAAAAACUAAUCGAUUAGCCGUGCUCGCGUUUAUGAUCGGCAUGUGGAUAUGUGUUGAGUAUAGACUUGUGUUUAUUCUUCUAAAUGCUGAAUUUACCUUCAAAUUAUGUUGAGAUUUGAGAAUGAUCUCCUUGCUGCCAUGGAUGGCAAUUAGGUGAAUAAUUAUACAUGAUAAAUGCCUACUUUGAUGCCCAUAUGCUAAGUACUAGCUUGCUGAAAUUUAUUUGAAAUCAAAUCUGAUUUGAAUGUGUUUUAUGCAAAUAAAACUUGCUUUAUGCUAAAAAGAACCAUAUUAUGCCUUUCUUGAUUAUAUGCCUUGCAAGUAGGGUGUUAGGCUUGUCUUGGUGCUUGUCAGUA
Molecule: non-coding RNA, 2075 nt
Organism: Oryza sativa Japonica Group (Japanese rice)
Lineage: Eukaryota; Viridiplantae; Streptophyta; Magnoliopsida; Poales; Poaceae
Source: RefSeq, a predicted model, not a curated record